AUUGAACGCUGGCGGCAGGCCUAACACAUGCAAGUCGAGCGAGCGGCGGACGGGGGAGUACUGUAUGGGGACUGCCCGAUAGAGGGGGAUAACUACUGGAAAAGGUAGCUAAUACCGCAUACAAUCGGCUAACCCCUGUGGGAUUAGCUAGUUGGUGCGGUAAUGGCUCACCAAGGCAGCGAUCCCUAGCUGGUCUGAGAGGUGGAUCAGCCACACUGGGACUGAGACACGGCCCAGACUCCUACGGAGGCAGCAGUGGGGAAUAUUGCACAAUGGGCGCAAGCCUGAUGCAGCCAUGCCGCGUGUAUGAAGAAGGCCUUAGGUUUGUAAAGUACUUUCAGUCGGGAGGCGGUACCGACAGAAGAAGCACCGGCUAACUCCGUGCCAGCAGCCGCGGUAAUUC
RNAcentral lists this ribosomal RNA (403 nucleotides) under uncultured bacterium. RNAcentral describes it as "partial 16S ribosomal RNA". It matches the Rfam family "Bacterial small subunit ribosomal RNA", at positions 30 to 526 of the family's 1533-position model. The record is from RNAcentral.